RNAcentral lists this long non-coding RNA (20827 nucleotides) under Vitis vinifera (wine grape). RNAcentral describes it as "long non-coding RNA (VVIN_LNC004889)". The record is from RNAcentral. Lineage: Eukaryota; Viridiplantae; Streptophyta; Magnoliopsida; Vitales; Vitaceae.
UUUUUUCCUUUCUUUCUCCUCAUUUUUCCCUCUCUUUCUCUUCUUCCUCUCGCCCAUCACUCUACCCACACCUCCGGCACGGCACCAUCUCCCCUACUCCCCCAUCUUUCUCCAUUUUUUUUUUCUUUCUCAACCCAAACCCACUACACUACACCACCUAUUGCGCCAGUCACCGUGGACCAGUGGGCGACGCCACCUCCGACAGCCAACGACCACCUCCCAAUCCCAUCAUCUCAUCUCUCGUCUCAUCGCUUUUUCAUUUUUAUUUUAUUUUAUUUUGUUUUAUUUUCACAACAUACAGCAUCCAACAACCUUCCUUCAUCUCCAAAAAAAUGUGUAAGUUUAUUUAUGUAUAUUUUUUUUUUUUUGCUUUGAUUUCAAUAAUAAUUGUUAGUAAGAUUUGGGAUUGUUAAUUAACAUUAAACUUGGAUCCAUUUGUUAUUGGUGAAAUUUCUUGGAUAAUAUUUAAUAUGAUAAUAUUGUGGUAUAUUUUUGUUACAUUCAGACUUUAUAUAUUAAAUUGCGGCUUAAUUUAUUAAAUUAGGUUUGGAUGAUGAGAUAUUAAAUUUUUACAUUUAAUUGAAUUUAUUUUAUUUUAUUACAUUUUGAGCUUGAUUGAUUAUGUUUGUAUUGACUAUUAAGUUAGAAUUUUGAACUAAGGCUUAUAACAUAUAAGAUAUUUUUUUUGGGCUUUAUUUAUUAAUUUAGGCCCAAUUUUAUUGAUAAAAUUUAUUGGGCUAAUUUGAGAUUGCUUUUGGGCUUAUUAAAAAACUUUGUACAUUUUUAAAAAUUUAUUUUGGUCUGAUUUUUGUUUUGUUGUGCCCAUUCCUCAAUUUAUUUGUUUAAUAAAAAUUGUUAAGAAAAUUGAUUUUUUUUUAAAAUAAAAUUGUCCACAAGGUUAAUUUUUAAUAAAAUUGUUAAAAAAUGAUUUUAAAUAAAUCCUCUUUCCUUAAUUAGAAUGAGAUUAAAAGUAAUUUUUCUUAAUUGGGGUUUUAAAUAAUUUUUUUAAUGAGAAUAGGAUCAGGGUCAUUUUCGUAAAUAAAGUUUGUAAAGAAAUUAAUUCCUUUGUAACUAAAAUCAAAUUGAAAUACUUUUCUAAAUAAAGUUGUAAAAAUCCAUUCUUUUUUUUAGUAAAAGCAGGUAAAAAUUAUUUUUAUUGUCAAAUUAAUUUUUUUUUUAAAUUCUUUUAAUAAUAGUAAGUGUAAAUAACUUUCUUAAAAUAAGAAUUAAAUCAAAUCACUUCUUGAAAAUAAAUUAAAGCCUUUUUGGUAAAUAAAUAAAUUAAAAUCACUAAUUUGAAAUUAUUUUUAAUGGACUCCUUCAGAAUUUCUAGAAAAACCAAAUUUUGAAAUAUCAAUUUUUAAAUUAGUUUAAUAAAUUAAUUUGUUUAAUUCUCAUGUCAUUUGUUUUGUACAUUCUUAUGAUAUGACUUUGUCAUUAUGUUUAUGUAUAUUUAUUUGUGUGUCCUUAAUCUUGGUAUUCAUAAUUAAUUAAUUAAUUAAUUAUCAUAAUUUCCUCGAUUCGUUUAAUAGACACGGUAGGUAUAUGAGUUUAGAGGUAUGUUAUGACUUAUCAUCGUAUCUUCUCAAUAGGUAACUUGACCCUGAAGGUAAACUUAGUUUUUGUAGAUAUGUCUUUUCCAAAUAAGGAAUCAUAUAAAGUUUUCUUUCUUAUUUUAUCUUUUUUUAAAAAAAUAAAUUAAAAUAAGUGGCAAAUCCAAUUCUUUUAUAAAAAAAAAUAAAAAAUUUCACAAAUAAAAAGUAAGUCUUACAGUUGGAGUGGGGACACAUGUGGAGGAGUGGGGACACAUGUGGAAAACACGGUUUAUAGUAAAUUUGAAAAGACAAUCUCCAAAGUUGGCUUUACCAUUAUUAUUAUUUUUUUUUUAUUUUAUCAAAGAUAAGUUGAAAAAAUAUAUUUUAUAAAUAUAAUAAAUUUAUAGGGUGCUAAUGGAUGAAAUAGUCAAGUGUAUUUACAACAAAUCUCAAGAGGUCCAAAAUAUGUUUUUUUUUAAAUAAAUGAAAAAAAUGAAUGAAAAUUAAAUAAAAUAUAAAAUAUAAACCCUUCAUCAUUGAUACAAAGGACAAAAAUUUAGAAGAAAAAUGUUUCAUCAUUACCUUCUCUAAUUAAAAAAAAAAACCUAUAUUUGUUUUAACCAUAAUAAUCAAAGAAAAAAAAGGUAAAAAAAGAAAAUGGAAGGUGAAAAAUGAAAGUUUCCGGUCAAAAUAUAUAUAUAUAUAUAUAUAUAUAUAUAUAUAUAUAUAUAUAUAUAUAUAUAUAUAUAUAUAUAUUCUAAAUUUUCAAUCUAAACUUGUGUUAAAAAUAUUUGUCAAAAAGUAGUGUGUCCAUACAACAUCAAGUUUCACUUUGUUAUUAUUAUUAUUUGUUUUAAAACCAUAAUUAUUAAAUGUGAUUUUAGUUUUAAAACUAUAUUAAUGAGGGUAAAACCAAUAUUGGUAACUAUGGUUUUAAAUUUAAACCUAAAACCAUAAUUGAUAACCGUAAUUUUUUAUAUUAAACAAAAAAAGUUAAGUGAAUGUGUAGACCCGGGAGGAGUUUUUGGGGAUUUUCUACAUGAUUAUUCUUCUGACCACCCCGGGAAUUAAGUUGAUGGGGGCGGCGAGAUUGGACAGGAAACAGAGAGUAGGUAUGAGCUUGUAGAGGAAGUUUUCGGAGGAGGGGGACUGCUGUUCGCCGGAGAUGGGAGCAAAAGGGUAAAAGGAAAAGAAAGAAAAAAAGAGCAGAGAGAUGCAGGGAGAGGAAAAAGAAAGGGGGGAAUGCAGGGAAAGGGAGCGAGAAGAAAGGGGGCCUCCAGAAUUUUUCCCGAGUAAGCUUUUCCAUUAUGUUUUUCUUUCUUUCUUUGUUUCUCUUCGUAUAUUAUUAUUGAGAUGCAUUGUUGUUGAUUUCUGGAUGGGUUAUCCUCUGUCCCUCCUGGCCGGCUGUUCCUCUUUUGCUUAUGUGUAUGUUUGAAGAUUGAUUUAAUUCCGUUUUACCUUCUCUGGGAUAUUUUCAAAGAAAAGAGACUUUCUGACUCACUCUUCUUCAAGCCCACUAACUAAGAGAGGAAACAUAGUUCUUAAUGUUUCCUUUAUUUCUCUCCUUCCAUUGCUCUGUUUUUGCUGCUAUUCUCUCUGUUUUUCUUGCUUGGUUUUUCCCGAAUGUGAAGCCGUAAAGGGGAAUGGGUCUAUGGGAUAUUAUCACGCAACUCAACCCUCACCAGUCACCAUUCUCCCUUUACUGCAUCUUCUUCUCGAUCCCCCCAUUUCCCCCGCUUUCUACUCUAUAGAUCAAAACUACGACUACGGCAAAUUAUAGAAGCGGAUGCUGUGUUGAAAGCCCAUCUCUAUGACUGAAGCUGCUGCCGGUGGCGCUACUACUAUCCAUGACCUACCGGAUGUGAUUUUGUCGAGCAUAUUGGCGAGCGUGACCGGCACCAAGGCAAGGAACGCCGCGGCGCUGGUUGGCUGGAAAUGAUUGGUGUCGGAGAGGGGCACGCGGACCUCCCUCACCCUCCGUGGCAACGCCGUUCACAGCAAUCUGUACAGGAUCCCGACUAACUUUCAGGCCGUGACUCACCUUGACUUCUAGCUCAUCUUCUUUGCCAUGCCUUUCUGAUGGUGACCCCGCUCACUGUCCAUGCUCGCACUCCGGCCACUCUCCAACUCCUGGCUCCCCAAUGGCUCAAUCUCACCCACAGCAGCCAUUUCGUCCAUCAAACAGUCACUCCCAGAGAUGAAGCCUGCCACUCAUCACCAUUGCCGCCUUCCUCUUCAUCAAGAUCUCCGUCCAGCGCUGGAGACGACGGUGAGACCAGCAGCGCCGGCCAUGGCAGCGGCGGUGCGAGCGCCAGCAGAAACAGCAACUGUUGGUUUUUAAACCAGAUAAUUAAAAGAAAAACGGAAGCCAAAAAAAUUUUCUCAAAUUUUUUUUUUUCUCAAUGAUCAAUACUUGUAUUAAUUUAAUGAAAUAACAAAUAUAGGUAAUUUAGAAUUGUACCUUGCGAUUAGGCUGAUAAAUUUGAACUCCACCAAAAGGAUCUUAGAAUUCCAAAUCCUCUAAAGCACCAUGGAUCUUUCUCUAACGUUCUCCAAAAAAUGAUGAACUCAAAACGAGUGGGCGUUUUUCAUUCUUGGGUUAUUUUUUUUUUAUCACACAACUUAAUAUAUAUUGAAAACUUGUAUUCUUAUCCCAUCAUCCGAGAAACAUUGAGAAAAAAAAAACUUUUUAAUACCACGAAAUAACUGACAUAUUUUGAAUUUUGAAAAACAUGGGAGAGAAUAUCUCUCCCCAUGAUCCCCACUUAAAAAGUGUUUCUUAGGGAAUACAAGUAAGUGUGGUCUUCACCACAUUGUAUCAAAAAAUAUUUUAAAUAAUCAUAUUAUAAAAUAAAUAAAUCAAAUCAAGAUUGUGUGAAAUUAAUUUAGAAUUCAAAAUUCCAAACUAAUAAAAUCAACCCAACAUAAAAAAAAUGUUCAUAUAAUUUUAAUGGAGCCGUUGAGAGGAACUAUGGACAUUAUAAUUUUAAGCUCCAAUAACUUUGACAAUUAAUUAACAACUUAAUUAAAAAAUCAAAAUUAUUAAUUCCAAAAUUACUCCACUAAAAAUUUGGAAUUGCACUCUUAAAAUUAUAAAAUUAAAUAUAUUCAAAGGAUUUGAAUUGCCCAUUGAUAUAGUCACUACAUACGAGUCAAUCCUCCAUAAACGGUUCAUAAUUAAAGCUAGGUUUUUCCGUUAACCUCUUUAAUUAUAUCUUUCUCCUUAAGUGUCAUUGGUUCUCUAAUGAAUAAUAUAUUUAUGGUCUAAUCAUAAAUUGAGCGCUCUUAUCAUUCAAGGCCCGAACCAAUACUUAUGGGAACCGUCCAUCUGACUUCUUAACGAAGGAAUGGAUUUCAUCUUGUAUAUUAAUAUUCCCGGCUAUUUAUUUUAUUAUACUUCCAAUACACCAAGAAUUUGACACUAUGUAUUUGUGUCAUUACCCGGUAUGUAAAAAAAUACAAUAGAAUAAAUAGGAGUCUAUUAAUCACUCAGAAUUAAGAUCAAUGCAUAUAUGACCAUCAUUGAUUAAUAUUGAAUGCUCUAUAUUAUAACGGAAUUUAUCAGAGAUUCAUAAUUAAUCGUGUUCCAGUCCUAUAUAAUCAAAUUAUAUAAAGCGCUUUCAUUCCAAUAAUCUCAUUAUUAACAAUCCGGAUAAGAUCAUUUCAUUCAGAAUGUAAUGAACCGCGCUAGUAAUUUUAAAUUAAAGAUCCCAACUUUAAUUUUUAAUUACGAAUAUAUUAGAUUAUUUUACUUUAAAUAUUAUCCUCUUGUAUAUAACACUUAUAUACAAUAUUUAAAGUUACAAUUAAAUAAUCUAGGGUUUUCGAUAUUCAUAAAGCAUCUAUAACAUGCAUGCAACAAUAAUAUUGAAAUAAUUCCUAAAAAAAAUAUUAAUAAUCAGCAAAAUAAAAAACAUCUCAUUUGUUUAUGGGCACAUAUUCCAACAGCAACCCCCACCUCUAUUCCUUCAUACCAUCAUGGCCAUCAUUGACAUGAAGGCCCUAUCCUCCCCCCCCCCCCCCCCCCCCCCCCGUGGGCUUGCUAUCAGUUGGCCACCCUUUUUGUUCUUUUAAAAAUAAGGUGGCAGCACCUCUAGAUCUUCAUGGUGGAUGUUUGGCUGGUGGGCUUUGUUGGUGGGCUCCCAAAGCCCAGGUUGUAUGUUAAGAUUAGUUCACAUGGGCCUUAAGCCCCAUCCCCCAAGUUCGGGCCAAGUAUACAGCCCUCUCGAGUCUUUUCUUUUAAUGUUAUAAAUAUGUUUUUCCUAUGAAGAUUUUAAAAUCAGCUGUACAAAACAUCAUUUUCGAAAUAACUUCCUAAAAUUUAAUUUUAAAUUCAGUUUGCAAAAUUUUGAUUCUUGAAAAUUCAAUCCCGAAAAUUCCCCUAUGCAAUUAUACUCGUUUAAAUAUUAGGAUUAUUAAUUAUUAUUAUUUUAUAUGUAUCGAUUUAUCAUCUUUUAAAAAUCUCAUUCAUUAAAGUCUAAUCCUUCAAAAAUUCUAUGUUUUAAUUUAAAUUUUCAAUUCUAAAAAUUUCACAAUUUGUUUAAAUCCCAUUUUCAUCAACUAGAAUUAUCCUCCUAUAUUUAUCUAUUUAAAUUCUAAUCCUUCAAAAAUUCCAUGUUUUGAUUUAAUCUUUUAAUCCUAAAAAUUCUACAAUUAAUUUAAACCUUACUUUCAUCAAUUAGAAUUACCCUCCCAUAUUUACUUAGUUAUUUAAGGUCUAAUAUUUCAAAAAUCCCAUAUUUUAAUUUAAUUAUUCAAAUAUUCGUUUAAAUCUCAUUUUCAUUAAAUAGAAUCAAUAUCUCAUAUUUAUCUAGUCUAAUAUUUCAAAAAUCCCAUGUUUUAAUUUAAUUCUUCAAAUAUUCGUUUAAAUCUCAUUUUCAUUAAAUAGAAUCAAUAUCUCACAUUUAUCUAGUCUAAUAUUUCAAAAAUCCCCUGUUUUAAUUUAAUUAUUCAAAUAUUCGUUUAAAUCUUAUUUUCAUCAAUUAGAAUCAUUAUCUCGUGUUUAUUUAGCUAUUCAAAGUCUAACCUUUUCAAAAAUCCCUUGUCUCAAUCUAAUGUUUCUAUAAUUCAUUUUGAAUCUUAUUUUCAUCGAUUAGAAUUAUUAUCACGCACUUAUACACUUAUUUAAAGUCCAAUAUUUCAAAAACCCCAUGUCCUAAUUUAAUUUUUCAAUCCUAGAAAUUCCAUUAUUCGUCCAAAUUUUAUUUUUGUUAAUUAGAAUUCUUAUUCCAUAUCUAUUUAUUUAUUUAAGGCCCAAUUCUCCAAAAAUCCAACUUCUGAAUUAAAUUUUCAAUCCAAAAAAUCCUACUAUUCAUCUUUAUUCGCCUAAAUAUUAUUCUUGUUAAUUAGUGUUAUAAUCCCAUACUUAUCUAUUUAUUCAAAGCCUAAUCCGUCGAAAAUCCAACGCCCUAAUUUGAUUUUCAAUUAAAAAGAUUCCGCUAUUCAUUUAUUCGUAUAAACAUUAUUUUUGUUAAUUAGCAUCAUUAUUCCAUACAUAUUUAUUUAUUUAUUCAUUUCAAUCAUUAAAAUUCAAUUCUUCAAAAUCGGAUUUCCAAAUUUAAUCUUUAGACUAAAAAAUUUCACUAUUCACUUUUAUUCAUUCAAAUAUCAUUUUUGUUAUCAUUAUUAUAAAUUCCACGUUUACUUAUUUCUUUCUUCUAAAAAUUCCAAUAAUUAAAGUUCAAUUAUUCAAAGAUUCGACUUUCAAACUUAAUUUUCAAAAUCCCACUAUUCACUUUCAUCCGUUCCAACAUCAUUUUUGUCGAAAUUCGCAUUUCAAAUUAAUUUUUAAUCUCACAAAUCUCACUAUUCACUUUCAUCCGUCCAAAUAUCGUUUUGAUUAAUUAAUAACAUUGUUCCAUAUUUACCUAUUUAUUUCUCUUAAAAAUCUCAAUCAUUAAGGUCUAAUUCUUCAAAAUUUCGAUUUUUAAAUUUAGCUAUUUGAAACUCCAAUUGUCCAAUCUCCGAACUUAAUUUUCAGUUUCCCAUGCUCCAAUUCCCGUAUUUAUCCCGCUACUUAUUAUUAUCAUUAUCAUUAUCAUCUUAUUCAUUAUUUCUAUAAAUUCUGCAUUCGAAUGAUUUCUAAGAUUUCCAAUUUUUACACAUCAACUUUCAUAAUUUCUAUUUCUCAAAUAACUUACGAUUCUGAUCUCUUUCAAAAUUCAACUCCCAAAGUCUCAAUUUUCGCAACUUAAUCUUUCUUUAAAAUCCCGAACCCUCAAAUCAUCUUCAAAAUUCCAACCUCUUUCAAAUUCAGUUCCUAAAAAUUCUCAUUCUCACAUUCAAUCUCUAAAAGUCUAAUCUCCAAAUAAACUCUAAAACUCCAAUUUUCUAGUGAACUUCGAGAUUCCAAUUUUUCAAUUAAAUUUCAAAAAAUCUGAUUUUCUCUUAAAUAGCUUAAUUCCAUUCUGGUCUUCAAAACAAUCUUCUGCUCCUCUGUUUUAAAAAAUGUUUUGAAAUAAACAAAUAAUCAAAUUUUGUAAUUCUGAAUAAUGGAAUUUACGGAUUUGGUCCAUUUGAUAAAUGGGUAUUGGUGGGAGCCCAACAUAUGCGACUUUAUAACUGAUUGAUUUAGUUGUCAUGCAUGAUUGUUUCUAUUCUGUCCUAUGACAUGCUUGAAAUCAUUCUUUAAUUGUGCACUAACCUCACUUUUUGAUAAGCGCAUUGUGGCUCGUCACUCAGGUACGUAUCUAUUCCCAUUCCGGUAUUUCCAUAUACAUGUUUUGAUUCUCCUAUGUGCAUGAUAAUUCCGGGUAUUCAUUGUUUUCCUCAUCAAUUGCCAUGAUUGCUUUAUUUUAUUAGUAGAGACCCGACUUUAGGGGCUUAGAGGGGUGCUACGGUCUUUACCAUACCUUCCUGAUGAGUAACUUGACCCCCGAACCCGAUCCAGUUUUUCAUAGACCACCUUUUCCAAAAUAAGGAGUCACACUUAGGGUUUUUCUUUCUUAUUUUGUUUACCCUUUAAAAAUAAAACAAAAAUAAGUGGCGACUCCAAGUCAUUUUUAAUCAAUAAAUCAAUUUUUUAAAUAAAAAUCGAGCUCGUCAUCAAGUGGGAAACGCAUGAGCCGAAAUGCGGGGUCCACAGAAUGAUUACGUUAUUACAAAGGUUAGAUUGGUAAAUAUUUUGGGAGAAAAUCUAUUUUCAUUAUUUUUUUUUUCAAAAGCACUUGAGAAAUGAUGUAAGUAUAUUAAUUUCAUACGUGCACUUAGUUAUUUUUUAAAAUUUAUAAAAAUAUUAAGGUAAGGAUAUUUUAGUUAUUAUGCUUUAAAAAUAGUAAUUAUGCUUCCUAUAUAAAAUAAAAUAUAUUUUAAUCUUUUUAUUUUGAAAAGAAACAAUGGUGUUGUUUUUCAAAUAUUUCAAUUCUAUUACACCUUCUCCCAACUUUUCCAAAAAUACAUACAUAGAAGAUAGAAAGAGUUUUUAUCUCAUAUAUUUAAAACAUUUAAAUUAGGAAGGUUUUUUAGAUAGGAAAUAAAAUCAUAUUAGGUGAUGAAUAAGUGAAUAUAAAUUGCUUUUUUUUUCAUACGUAGAAUAGGCUGUUAUUGUCUAGUUUUUCUGUUGGUUAGAAGACAGCUAGGUCGACAGUCAGCAAGAGAAGCCCGUGGACACCAAUAUUUUUAAUCUAUAUUUAAUAUAUAUAUAUAUAUAUAUAUAUAUAUUAUUUUUUUUGAAAAUAAUUUCUCCACAAUUAAAUAUUAUAUAUGUUUUUAAAUAUUAGUUCAUUUAAAUUUAAACUUGUCCUCAUUUCUUUUGAUGAUAUCAAAUAUAAAAGAUAAAAUAUUAUUAAAAUUUUGAAUUAUAUUUAUAUUUUUUAGUUUUUUAUAAUUAAUUAAUUUAAUUUUAUAUUUAUAACGUUACUAAUUUGACCAUGGUUCAAUUAUCAGCUCUGAUCAAUAAAUCGUAAAUUGGUAACUUUUUUUAUUCAAUGACCAGAUUAUAAAAACAUUGAUUUGAUGUAUAAAACAAUUUUAAUAUUUAAAGUAAAAAUUAAAUAAUAUGUUUUAAGUUAAUAACAUAAUUAAAAAUAACUUAACUUACAGUUAACUUAAGUCAUUAAAUAAUAAGUAUUAAGUUUUACUAGUGGUUAUCUAAAAUUUUAAAAGUGGUUUUAAGAAUUUGUCAAAUACCUAAUUUUUCUCAUAAAACACUUUCAUAUAUCACAUACGAGACACUUUUAACUUUCUCAAAAUCAUUCUCCUGACAUACUUAUAUAAAAUUUUACAAAGAUUUUUUGGUACAUAUUUUUUGUAAUUUGUCAUUGUUUACAUUGGGUUGACUCAUCUAAGUCUUCUGCUUGGUCUUUUAGGUAAACAUGGCAUAGCUUGGAAAAUUAUAUGAAUGAAUCCAUCAUUUAUCUCAACAUCAAUAUUUUUUUCUUCAAAUUAUUUGAUAGGAAACCUUGGAAAAUAUUGCCUUGAAAAAUAUGGUUGCAUUCCCAUUUUUUCCACGAUAGUAGAGGUCUCAUAUUUUGGCUAUGAACCUUUUGGAAAAUCCAUUAUUAAAAGUAAACAACACAUAACUUAAUUGAGUCAUUAAAUUAUUUAAAAAUAGUUUUUCAAAGGUUCUUCGAAAACUUCACAUUUUCAUUUUGAUUUAUAAUGUCUAAAAAUCUUAUAUUACACUAUAAAUUCUUUUAAAAAUAUGCUAUUAGGAGUAAAAGAAACAAGAACCUUAUAUUAGUAUUGUAGAAAACAAAAAUUUAAAAGAAAAAGUUUCUAUCUUUACCUUUUGAAAUUAGAGAAACUAUAUUUGUUUUAAUUAUAAGAAAUGAUGGAAAAAUAGUCUGAUUGAAAAAAAAAAAAAAAAGAGGUAAAAGAGAAAAAUGUUUGUUUUAAAACAUAAUUUUUAAAUAUAAACAUUAAAAUAUCAAAUGUAUUAUCAUUAAUAUUUGAAAUUAUCAAAAUUUGUGAGGUAAUAAUUUCAUUUUGUUCUCCAUUAUGUAUUUAUGUUUGUAUUAAAUUUAUAUAUAUAUAUAUAUAUAUAUUAUCAUUUUGUGUUUAAUGGUACAAUAUUUUUAUUUUUUGUCUAUUAUGUAUUUAUGUUUAUAUUAAAUUUGUUUUAUUAAUUAUCUUUUAUAUAUAACCAUUUUUUAUUUAAUGUGUUUAAAAAAAAUUAAAAUUUAAAAGAUGUAAUGAGAGAAAGUGUAGCGAGAAUUAAAUAAAUAAAUAAGUGUCAAAAACUUAGAUAAGGUAACAUGGAGGAGAAAAGAGAAAAAAAUUGACUUAAUUGUGUCAAAAACCUGUAAAGGUUUUUGUGUGAAUCUCAUUCUUUUUAUUCCAUUUCUUCUAUCAUCUCUUAUAAUUUCCUUUUUCAUGUAAGCACAGUAAAAGUUUACCAAAGUUGCGAUUAAUUGAAAAAUAUUGCCAGUUCACAUUUUGAUUCAUUCAUGAUGUUUAAAUGUUUUGCAUGUAUUUGGGUUCUAGCCCUUCCAAAAAUCCACUAAUUUUUGUGCUUUGGAAAAUCCUCACCUAAUUCAUAUUUUUUGUGUUCUCAUUCUUCAUUAAGUUAGAAGACAAUCUUAGUGAGUGUCAAUGUUCACAUUACUUUUAUUGUAAUCCACUUGAGUGGAAACAAGGAAAUUUCAUUCAUGGUGGUCUUCCCACUAAAUUAAGGUGAUUGAGAUUUGUUUCGAUGGGUCAAUAUCAUGAAUUAUGUGAACACCAAUAUUAGAGGUUGUAGUAGUAGACUAAAAAAGUGUUGCCUAACUUAGGGUGUUUUCCGGAAAAGAGCCUCUUAGACACCAAUAUUCGAAAGCACUUAUCUUGAUUAUGGGGGUAAAAAAUGAAGCAGUUUUUGCUUUAGCUUAUGUUUGGUUCUUGGAAAACACUAAGGAAAGAAAAAAAAUGUAAAAGAAAAUGAUUUUUUUCAUGUUUAAUUAUCUUAUGAAAAAUAUCAAAGAAAACCAAAUAUAAUUAUAACUAGUUAGAAAUUUAUAUAUAUUUAAAUUAUUUAAUCUUUAUAUUAAUGAGUUAAAAUAAGUAAAAUGAGUUUAAAAUAACAAAUAAAAAUAAUUUAUAGACUCUUAAUCUAUUUUUUAUUUUCCUUUACUUUUUAUUUCCUUCUACUUUUCCUUUGUAUUUUUUUUCCCUUGCAUUUUUCCUUAAAUUUUUUGAGAACCAAACAUAGCCUUAGGAAACAAAAGAAGUAGUCCAAAAGUAUUUUGUAUAUGAAUAUAAGGUAAAUUCCUAUCUUAUGUACAAUUUAUAUUUUUAAAAAUAAAAAAUGGAAAAUAUAUGUACAAACAACCUUAAUAAUUAUCAUAAAUAUUUUAUUUGAACUUCAAUUUUUCUUUUCAUUUUUCAUUUUAUGAUUUAAAAGUUUUAUUUUUUCUAAAAUUUCAUUCAACUUUUAUAAUUUGCUAUUGUUCGCUUUUGUUUUUGUCAAGUCUUUGUCUAGUUUUUCAAAGAUUCUUGGAAAAUUUUAUCUCAUUCUCAUUUUGAGCAUGUUGUUUUGUUUUAGUCACGUCUUUAUCUAGUUUUAUAAUGAGUCCACAAAUCCAUAUUGCGUAAAUCAUACGUAAUUUAAUUUUUUUUUGACUCAUUAUGAAUAUUUUAUUUAACUUUUAAAUUUUCUUUUAAUGAUCAUUUGCGUUUGUGAAGGGUCAUUCUUUUCAUUUUGUUUGACUUCUCAAAUCUCAUUUUCAUGUGAAACUUUGUAGGGUUUUCCAAAGGCCCUUGGAAAAUAUUGCCUUAUUCAUUAUGAAAUCUUCCAAAAAUCCAUGACGGGCAAUAAAUAAGGUAUAAGCUUAAUUGAGUGAUUACAUUAUUUAGAACUUAUAUAGGAUUGAUUUUAGGUAAAGCAUUCUUAAUUUGUAGUAGUCUUUGUAAUUAGUGUUUUUAUUAGAAAAACUUUUUAAGAAAAAUCAAUUAGUGCUUAGAUAUAAUAACAAAAAUAUAUAUAUAUAUAUUUUUAUAGUAUUUUUAGUAAUGUGUUAUAUAUAACAAAAAAAAAAAAAAACAUAAAAUCUCCUAACAUGUGAUCAUCCAUGAAUCACUUUAGAUGAUUAACUAAAAUUUUAAAAUAACUUUAUGAUUAUCAUUCUUUAAUUUCGGUUGACUCUUCUAAGUCUACUUAUUGGUCUUUUAUGUAAAUAUGCUAUAGUUUGGAAAAUUCUAUCCAUCAUUAAUCAACAUCAAUCGUUGUUUUCUUUAAAUGAUUUGAUGGGAAAGCCUACCUCACAUGGAAUAUGGAGUGCCUUUGUUUAAUGGAUUUCAAUUGCAUGCUCCUGGAAAUUAUGCCCUAAUCCAUAUUUUUUUUGCGUUGAUAUGGUGAGCUGUUGAAGAUGUAUUUCAUUUUCUUGAAAAGAAAUAAUUAGUGCAUACACAUUUUGAAAUAUUAAAUUAAAGAGGAAAAUGACACCAUACUCCCAUAAAAUUCAAUAUAUUUGUUUAUUUGUUAAAUAAGUAAAUAAUUAAUUAAUCAAAGACUUUAAAGGAAAUAUUUGUGUGAACUAAAAAUAUAUAUAUUUAAAUUAUAAAGGAUUUAGAUAGGAAAGAAAAAGAGGUUUUAAAUGUAUAAACUUGCAUGCAACAAAGGGAAUUUGCUGUCAUUGUCUACUGCCUUCUUUGUUACGUUAGAAGAGAGGCAGCUGGGUGAUGAGCAUUUGUGUUCACAUUUACUUUUAUUGCAUGCAGUCCACACUUAAUUGUACACAAGAAAUUAAUUCAUGGACCACGAGGACAUUAAUAUUAAUAUUAAAGACUUGAGUUGAGCAGUGGACUGACUUGACUUGGGGUGUGCUUCCGGGAAGAGUCUUUCUUAGUCUUAGGCACCAACUAAUAUUUAUAUUUAUAUUUGCAUUAUAAAAGUGUGAGGUAAGGUUUAAUUAAUUGCAGUGAAUUAAAGAUGGUGUCCUCCAUUAGAAUUUCUAGAGCAGUGGUGCUAGUUACCAUUACCAGUACCAUGAUGAUAAUGUCAUUCUCCUCCCUUGCCAAUGCAAUAUCAUCACCAUCAUCAUCAACUGAUGAGGGAGAGGCUCUGCGCAGCACCGGUUGGUGGAAUUCUACUUCUGCUCAUUGCACCUGGGAUGGUGUACGUUGCAAUAAGGCUGGAAGCGUCACUCUCAUAGAGCUUUCCUAUCUAGGAAAAAAAUUGGGUGAGCUUAGCAAAUUGAAGUUCUCUUCAUUUCCCAGCCUGGUUGAGCUCUUCCUUUCUGACUGGAGACUCAAUGGUAGAAUCCCUCACCAAAUAGGUACUCUUACUCAACUCACCUCCCUACAUCUCUCUUCAAACAAUCUUACAGGUGAGCUACCUCUUUCCUUGGCUAACCUCACUCAGUUGGAGUCCCUCGUCCUUUAUUCUAAUCGACUACAUGGUUUGAUUCUUCCUGAAAUUGGGAAAAUAAAGAAUCUGACUUUUUUGGAUUUGGGCAAUAACAAUCUUACUGGUAUCAUCCCUUCAUCUUUUGGUAAUCUUACCAAUUUGACUUUUCUUUAUCUUGAUGGUAAUCAAGUAAGUGGUUUUAUCCCUCCUCAAAUUGGGAAAAUGAAGAAUAUGAGGUUGCUCUAUCUUUCUUCUAACGGACUACAUGGUCCAAUUCCUCCUCAAAUUGGGAAAUUGAAGAAUCUGAGGUUGCUCUAUCUUUCUUCUAACGGACUACAUGGUCCAAUUCCUCCUCAAAUUGGGAAAUUGAAGAAUUUGGAGGUGCUUUAUCUUUCUUAUAACAGACUACAUGGUCCAAUUCCUCUUGAAAUUGGGAAAUUGAAGAAUUUGAAUAUUUUGAAUCUGAGUUAUAACAUCCUUAUUGGUGUCAUCCCUUCAUCUUUUGGUAAUCUUACCAAUUUGACUUCUCUUACUCUUAGGGGGUGUUUGGUAUGUCGGAAUAGGGAAUGAAUUUGAUGAUUCCAUUUCUAGCAUUUGGAUGAACUUAGGAAUACAAAAUUGAAAUGAUUAUUUGUUUCCAUUCCAAUGUUUGAUAAUAAUAGGAAUGGAAAUGAAAAAGAAAUAAAUUUACAAUAAUAUCCUUACAUAUAAUUUAAAAUAUUUUUUUAUUUUUACUUUGAUUUUAAAAAAAUAAAAUUUGAGAGGUUUUUUGUUAUUAAAUAAUAAGACUAAAAUAUAUAUAUAUAUACUCAAUAAAUAAAAAAUCGUAUAACCUUAAUGCACAAAUAUUCAAUUAUUAUUUUUAUUAAAAAUUUGAAUAAUUUGUCAUGCGUAGUUAUAAAAUUAUAUUUUUCAAAAAAAAAUUAUUUAUUAUAAUAUUUAAAUUCUCAAAGCUAGCAAAUGUUUUUCCUAUUUUCAAAAGAGGAAAUAAAAGAAUUCUAAUUUAUUCUAAUUUUCAACAAGUAUCAUAUCCAAUAAAAUCCAUAACCUUAAAAAAUUUUAAAUAUUCGUUUUUUUUUAUCAAAAUUUUAAAUAAUUUGUCAUGCAAAAAAAGCUAUAGAAUUAUAUUUUACUAAGAAAAAAAAAGAGAAAAAAUAUAAGAACAUAUAAAUUGUCAAAGCUACCAAAUACUUAUUUCUUAUUUGCAAAAAAGGAAAUAAAAAAACACAAACUUCAUUCUAGUUCUCAAUAUAAGUACCAUAUCUACUAAUAAAUAUUAAAAAGAUUAAAUAUUCUAUGUUUGACCUCACAAUCAUGGGUUUUUUAAUCAUUAAAUUUAUUGGUUGUUUAAAUAAUGUCCAUAAUUUGCCUUAAUCAGAUGUCCACAACAGAAUGCCUGGGAAGAUCAAUAGUGACAAUGGUACAGAGCUCAUCUUGACUUUUUCUUGAAGUUGCAGAUUUUAAUUUAACCCCACCUAAAUAUUUUAUUACACUGUUGCUUGAAUCUUUUUAUGUGCCAUUAGUCGGUCAUUCUGGUUAUCUAAUUUAUUGGAUCUGGAAAGGUAUGAAAAUCAUGUUUUAUUGGCAUUGGUGUUGUGAUGUGAUGUGGCUUAGGUCGGGAGAUUUGCAUCAUGCAAACCUCCUUGGGCUGUCUACAUCAAACUUAAAGUUGGGCCGAUAUACAUCAAUAGCAGCUGGAAUAAAAAAAUUAAUCAAUGUUGGUUUCUCGGUGCUUAGUGGUUUGUUUACUGUUAAAUAGCAAUGAUAUGAAGAGAUCUUCACUGUGGCCCAUGCUAAAGUUCCAAAAUGAGCCGGAAACGCAGCAGAUUUUCUGCGAGACGGCAGAAUCCAUAGCUUUAACUAGGAAAGGAAGACGUCGAUAAUAAUAAACAAAGGGGGAAAAAAACCAAAAGUUUUGUUUUUGUUUGUUUUUUUAUUUUUAUUUUUUUCCUAACCAUUAAAAAUUUUCAAUAUUGUAAACACGUGAAAUAGAAAAAUCUUUUUCCAACCAUUUCAAUUUUUCUCUCCAGUUUCCAUUAAUACAAGAUAAAGAAACAUCAAAGAUUCCAAACAUAAAUUAAUAAUAUAAAAAAUUAAUCGAUUUAUAGAGAAGAAGAAACACAUAAAAAAGUAAAAGAAGAAAGAGAAAAUAAGGUAAACCUGAUCGAAGAUGUAGAAGGGAGUUUUCAGAACCUAGUUGCAGCAAACAAUGACGAAUCCUAGAUCCAACAAUCAAAAUGAACAUCCAAAACCCUAUAAAUUACAAAUUGAUUUUUUUUUUUUUUAAAUAUCGUGGAAGGUUUAAUUGAUUCAAUUUGGAAGAAUCACUUGUUGCAGAGAAUUGGAUGAUGAGUGGGUCUCUAGCUUUACAAAGAAGAUAAGAAGUGGAUGAUGAAUGGAUCUCUACCUUUACAAAGAAGAUAAACAUCGGGUUUGAAGAACAAGAUAAGAGGGUAAAAUAGUAAUUUAGGUUAUUUUAUAUUAUCAAAUAGGUUUAAUGAAUCAGAAUACCAUCUACUUUUAAUGAAUGCAAAUCCGACUCAUAAGUUGGAUUUGAUUUCUGCCGGAAUAAUUUUUUAUUUCAUUUCCGCCUUCUUAACAUUUAUCCAAACAUAGGAAUAAGGGAGAAAAGGAAUGAGAUGUCUAUUCCCACUCCCUAUUCCCGUGUACCAAACACCCCCUUAGAGGUAAUCAAAUAAGUGGUUUUAUUCCUCCUGAAAUUGGAUAUCUUUUGAAUUUAUCAUAUCUAGAUCUCAGUGAGAAUCAAAUCAGUGGUUUCAUCCCUGCAGAAAUAGUAAAUUUGAAGAAAUUGGGUCAUCUAGACAUGAGCAAUAACUUAAUAAGUGGAAAGAUACCUCCACAGUUGGGAAAUUUGAAAGAAGUAAAAUACUUCAAUCUCUCCCACAAUAACCUCUCUGGCACCAUUCCUUAUUCUAUUUCUAAUAACUACAGAUGGACAUUAAUUGAUUUAUCAAACAAUCAGUUGAAGGGUCAGUCUAGAGCUCCAGUAAAGGCAUUUGGCCACAACAAAGGUCUAUAUGAUGAAAUCAAAGGUCGGCCACGAUGCAAGAAAAGGCACAAAAUCACACUCAUCAUUGUUGUUUCUUUAUCUACAACCUUGUUGCUUUCAGUUGCAGUCCUUGGUUUUCUCUUCCAUAAACGAAGGAUAAAAAAAAAUCAAUUACUCGAGACAACAAAGGUGAAAAAUGGAGAUUUAUUUUCCAUAUGGGACUAUGAUGGUGUGAUUGCUUAUCAAGACAUCAUCCAAGCAACUGAAGAUUUUGACAUCAAAUACUGCAUAGGCACUGGAGGCUAUGGGAGUGUUUAUAGAGCACAAUUGCCAUCUGGAAAGGUGGUUGCCUUGAAAAAACUUCAUGGAUGGGAAAGAGAGAAUCCAAGUUACCUGAAAAGCUUUGAAAAUGAAGUCCAAAUGUUAUCAAGAAUACAACACCGUAACAUUGUAAAACUUCAUGGCUUCUGUCUACACAAGAGAUGCAUGUUUCUAGACUUCUAGUUUACAAAUAUAUGGAGAAAGGAAGCUUGUAUUGUAUGCUGAGGGAUGAAGUUGAGGUUGUGGAAUUGGAUUGGAUUAAGAGGGUGAAUGUGGUCAAAGGCAUUGUCAAUGCUUUAUCCUACAUGCAUCAUGACUACAACUUGCCCAUCAUUCAUCGAGACAUAUCAAGUAACAAUAUUUUGUUGGAUUCUAAGCUUGAAGCUUUCGUAUCGGAUUUUGGCACUGCAAGACUGUUAGAUCCCGACUCAUCCAAUCAAACCCUUCUUGUAGGCACUUACGGUUAUAUUGCACCAGGUAAACUAGACUAUAUUCUUCACUAGUUUUUAAUUGCUUAUGAAUAUUUUCAAUUGUCACACCCUCAAAAAAAUUCAAAUGUUUUUUAGAGAAUUCAAAAUAUUUUAUAAGUUUUCUCUAUAUACAAAACAUAAAUACUCAUUUUUUUUCCCUAUUUUGUAGAGCUUGCUUAUACUAUGGUUGUGACCGAAAAAUGCGACGUUUAUAGCUUUGGGAUGGUUGCAUUGGAAACAAUGAUGGGAAUGCAUCCAGGAGAACUUGUCACCUCAUUAUCAUCUUCAUCAACUCAAAACACAACAUUAAAGGAUGUAUUAGAUUCACGUCUUUCAUCUCCUAAAAGUACAAGAGUUGCUAAUAAUGUAGCUCUUAUUGUGUCAUUGGCGCUCAAAUGUCUCCAUUCUAAUCCACAUUUUCGUCCAUCCAUGCAAGAAGUGUCUUUGAAACUUGUUUCUACAAAGUCAUUCCCACAACCCAUUAGUGCAAUAUCACUUUUGCAACUAAAAGACGAAGUUAUUUAAAUGGCAUGUGAGUUGAUAUGUAAUUGGAGUGAAGAUGUUUAUUUUCCAUUUUUCUUUUUCAUGCAUGUUAGUAAUGAGAAUUUUAUAGUAUAUGUAUCCCUUCUUUCCUAUUAAUUACUCAAAUGUAGCUUUUCUAUUUGUUUUUCAAAGUGACAAUAGUGUAAUGUGAUGAGAAAAUUAUAUCUGAUUGAUACAUAAUGAUAUGUAAACUUUGAAUGAUUCAUAAUGGUUAAUCUUUAUAAUGAUCCUUCUUUGGAGAAGAAUCCUUCUUUUUCUUUUAUCAAUUUUAACAUAUAUACCAUUUUCUCAAUUUUAAUAUUCUAAUCAAUCAAAUUAGUGAUAUUUGUUGUGAAUGUGAUUGGUAGCUAUUAUCAAAGGCAUAUGAUAAAAUUGGGGAAAAAACAAAUUGAAUAAUUUCAAUAGGAUUGUCUCUACAUGAUGAAGUUAUUCUAUUUAUUUUUAAAAUACUAUUUUACCCAUUUUUCCUAUACAUCCUCUAAAAUUUUGUAUAAAAUAAAAUAAUUUGAUUUUGUAUAAGAACACUUAAAAAUGUUGAUGGGAACGUGAAAUAUUAGGAUGACACUUAAACACCAAAUGACAUACUUGUGAUGCAAUAUUAAGAAAUUAUCAUAAUAUUUUACGAUUUGUCUCUACUAUAUAUGUAGUCACCUAUAAAUGUCAAUUUUAAAAAUAUUUAAUGAUCAAAGAAAAUUAAGUGAGAUAUAAUUAAAAAAAUCUAAAAAUUUUAUUUGCCCAUUCUAACAUAAUAGAUAUUCAUACUACUAAUUUUAUUGAGAUGAGAUACCUAGUUGAUAUAGUGUCCUUGCUUUUACGUAAAAUUAGACAUUAGAUUUACUUAAAUUAUUUUCAUAAUAGUGGCAUAUUUAUAAAAUAUAUGAAACUAAUUAAAUUGAAUAAUUGAGAUAACUAUGAAUAUAAGUAGGACAUUAAUGCUCCGCGUUUUAUUGAAAUAUUAUAGAAGAAGCAUUAUUUCGGUUUCAUAUCUAAAGUUUAUUUUUUUUUUUUUCCAACUCCAAUUGGUGUAUAUAGAUCCGAUUUUGUAGUGAAGGCCGGCAGCCAAUAGGAUUUCCUUCACAGAAAAGAAUGGACACAUGAACUACACAGAAACCAGACCAAGAAAUGAGUGUGGUGUUCUCUCCUGCCUUGGCUGGAAUUCCCACAUCACAACUGCCCUUCUUCACUCCAAAACCAGGUUCUUUUCUCUUUUCCUGUUUCUCAAUUCCCACAAUUCUCAUUCAUACUUAUUGUAAUUUCCCCCUUGUUCAGUUUUAAUAUGUCCGUAUCCUAAUUGAUCUUCAAUGCUCUUAGUCAAGUCCAAGAGUUGCAGAUUGAUUUCUUGGGACGUCAAUUCCAUUACUAAUUGCAGUAAUAAUAGUAGCUAGAGAGCUCAAUUGCCGUUCAAUUCUCAGGUCACAAGGUCAAAUAUUAUUAUUCUUGUAUAAGAGAAAAUAAUUUUAAAUCUUUUUGUUUAAAAAAAAAAAAAAUUAGUUCGGCUUUUUCAAAUAUAUUCAUCCCACAACUUCUUAUCCUAAGUUUCCCAAAAAUAUAUGAUAGAAUAUUUAUCUUAUAUAUUAAAAAUAUUUAAUUACAAAGGUCUUUUAGUCUUUUUUAUAUGGAAAUAAUAUGAAUUGCUUUCUUGAAACAUAAACUUGCAGCAAGGGAAGUGGUUGUCAUGGUCUACAUUUUUUCAGAGCUGGGUGUUCUGCAUUGAAAAGAAUCAGGUAGAUGCCAAUACAAGAGACUUGAGCCGUGUACUGAAAAAGAGUUGCUUGACUUGGUGUGUUUGUAAGAAAAAUGGAUUAUUAUUAUUAUUAUUAUUAUUGCAAUGUGAAAAAUAGAUGUACCAUUACAUUAAAAUGUAAAUGUAGAUUCUAAAAUUUGUCUUUAAUUUAUUUUUAGAUUUUGAACCUAAUUUUAUCCUUAAAUUUCAAUCCAAUUACUUGAUUUUUAUUUUCGAUUUACUUGUAACAUUUAAAUAUUAAUUUAUAUUAUUUUAUUUUAUUUCUAUUUCAUAUUUUAUUUUAUCUUUUAUUUUCUUUUUUUCUUUUUUCUUUUUCCCUUCACUUCCCUCUUCUCACUUAUCCUCACGUACCCACACUUUUACGGGCCUUACCUCUCACGUCAGGAGACACGUCUCCUCUCAUCUCUUUUCCUUUUUUUCUCUCUCCAUUUUUUCUUCCUUUUUCUUCCCCUCAUUUUUUUUUUCUUUCUUUCCCCUCAUUUUUUCCCUCUCUUUCUCUUCUUCCUCUCGCCCAUCACUCUACCCACACCUCCGGCACGGCACCAUCUCCCCUACUCCCCCAUCUUUCUCCAUUUUUUUUUCUCUCUCAACCCAAACCCACUACACUACACCACCUAUUGCGCCAGUCACCGUGGACCAGUGGGCGACGCCACCUCCGACAGCCAACGACCACCUCCCAAUCCCCUCAUCUCAUCUAUCGUCUCAUCGCUUUUUCAUUUUUAUUUUAUUUUAUUUUGUUUUAUUUUCACAACAUACAGCAUCCAACAACCUUCCUUCAUCUCCAAAAAAUGUGUAAGUUUAUUUAUGUAUUUUUUUUUUUUUUUUGCUUUGAUUUCAAUAAUAAUUGUUAGUAAGAUUUGGGAUUGUUAAUUAACAUUAAACUUGGAUCCAUUUGUUAUUGGUGAAAUUUGUUGGAUGAUAUUUAAUAUGAUAAUAUUGUGG